Molecule: transfer RNA, 70 nt
Filed under: Dorcus tanakai
Lineage: Eukaryota; Metazoa; Arthropoda; Insecta; Coleoptera; Lucanidae
Description: tRNA-Val
Source: RNAcentral
CAAAUUAAAGCUUUAAAUUAAGCGUUUUAUUUACAUUAAAGAGUUAGCUGUGAAAUUCAGUUUAAUUUGA